This 28198-nucleotide long non-coding RNA is filed under the name Selaginella moellendorffii. RNAcentral describes it as "long non-coding RNA (SMOE_LNC000992)". The record is from RNAcentral. Lineage: Eukaryota; Viridiplantae; Streptophyta; Lycopodiopsida; Selaginellales; Selaginellaceae.
CACAUUGCACUUGAAUCAAUCUUCCUGUUAUAGAUUUCACACUUAUACUUCCUUUCGAGCUCAGUCAAGGAAAUAGUCAACAUUAGUAAAAAAGAGUCAAAUACGAUUGCAUACGUGGGUAAGAGGAACGUCUCGUCGCGUGGCUUCCACGAGCACCAUGCAAGGGAUGCGUGGAGCCACGGCCACCUCAGCUGCCACCUCGACCUGGCACGUCCACGUAAGAUUACGUGCCCCUGUAUUUCUACCGCGACUGAAUCUCAGUGCUUAUUCUAUCCCUCUCUCGCUUUCUUUCUCACUCUCUUCUCUCCUGAGAAGAAGUCCUCUCUACAAUGGCACUGCGAGAUUCUUUGUUUGCAAAGUUUGUCUUCGUGCAUGGGGAUGACGACGAUGACAAUCCCCCGGAUCUCGCGCCCGCCGCCUCAGAAGUUCAUGCAUUGUCUCCUUGUCUCCUGGGGGAAGACCAAAUGGUUCCAAGGAUCAUCUAUGAGGCUCACUGCGGAAAUCGCGAUCGCCAAGUAAGUUCUAUUCCCUUUUCCUCUUUUGAUGUUUCCAAUUUGAUUCACUGUGUUCACUGUGUUCCUUGAUCAAUGCAGCGAGAUCAAACUCCUCCAACAGUUCGCAUUGGGAUCUGAGAACGCUGGUCCUUUCACCGCUCUAAUUCAAAUCCCUCUUGCCUGUAUCUCAUCCUUCUCCUUCUUUGCGGAUCGGAGAAGCCAGAAAAAGCUAGUUGUCAAGGAUCUAUGACGAACUAUAAACUCUCGCCUUUUGUUGUAACCUCCGAGAAUAAUACCAAUCCACGAUCGCUUCUCUUCGAGUUUGAGUCGAUCGUUUCAGUUUUUUAGCUCGGGCUUUCGACUUUGGAGCCAUGCCUUGGCUGCUUCUCCGCUAGCAAUGAAGUAUCCCCCUGGACGACGGUUUUCCUCGAACGGAGAAUCCAUGCCUUUCAACACUCCCCCCACGAACUCGCUCAGGCUGACGCUGUUGGUCGCUUCUUUCGCUCUUCCAGUCCCGGUUUCCACCAUGAGAUCCUCCGGGAACUCGUCGCCAUUCUCCGCCGCAGUGGCUAAGCUCUCGAUCCAAGCCUCCAGCGCGCACUCGGCGGCAGCGAACGAGAGAGUUCUCAAGUUGAGUUGCCACAACGACGGUAAGGUGGUGUGGAGCCCGUGAUACAAACCAGCCGAGACUCCGCUGGAAAGUAUCGCUCGAGCAGCGUUUCUGGAUCCCAGAACGCAGCAAAAGUCUAUCACCGCGUUGCACAUCGGCCUCCUCGACGGAGCCGUGAUCUCCCGCAGCAAAAACUCGGUGGUCUCGGAAGCGAUGUCAUCAAAGUCAUCGUCUUCUUUGGCUAGAACUAGCAGCCGGGACAAAAGCUCGUGGAGCCGGGGCUUGAUCUUCUUCACGCACUCGAGGACGCCGAGCCGGGUUUCGUCACUUAUCUGCGACGAAGAGGCGCACGAGACGAGCAUCCCGCUCAUCCUCUCGUUCACAGAGCAGCCAUUCGCGAUCAUCUCGUCAAAGAUCCCGGGUAUGCGAUCGAAGUCCCCGGCCUGCUUGGAGGCCUUGAUGAGCAUCGUGUAGAAGGCCGCCUUUGGAAACACGGCCAAGUUCUUGAGCUUGUCAAACAUGGCCCGGACCUCUGCCACCAUGCCUUUGGUCGCGUAGACAUUCAUCAAAAUCCCAUAAGUCAUAUGAUCCGGCCACUGCUUCUCCCUCUCCAUCUCCGCGAUCAAGCUCUCAGCCCUCUGGAUGUUGCCGCUCUCCACACACGACUUGAGCAGCGUGUUGUAGACGAGGACGUCGAGCUUCCAUUUCUUCUGCUUGAUGGUGUCGUAGACGUCCAGGGCCUUGUCGAGCGCGCCAACUUUGGUGUACAUGUCGAUGAGGAUGCUGAGAGUUAUCUCCGACGGCUCCAGGCCAUAGCUCGCCAUCUCGUCAAACAUCCCUUUGGCGAGCGUGACUUUCCCAGCUCGUCCUAGCGUUCCAAUCAGAGUGUUGAAGAGAACCACGUUUGGCUUGAUCUCGGCUUGUUCCAUGUCUCGGAAGAGCCUCAAGAUCGCCUGGUAAUCCCCGACUCUCGAGUAGACGUUCGCGAUCACUCCAAACGAGACCAAGUCGGGCUUCCAGUUGUUCUUUCGCAUUGUCUGGUAGAGAUCCAUGGCCUCGGCCGUUCUUCCGGCCUUCCCGUAGAGGUCGAUCAUGGCACUGUACGUAACUCCGUCGAAAGAAACUCCGGUUUCACGAAGCCGGUGGAACCAGGCUAUGGCGUCCUCGGCUUGAUCGCAGCGCUUGGAACAGCUGACAAAGAUGCUGAAAGUGUAGUUGUCCGGCAUGAUCCUCUCCUCGAGCAUCUCCUUGAGAAGUUCUUCCGACAAGCUCCACUGUUCUCCGUCGCGUAGCAGCUUGAGCAUCAUGUUGUAUGCGAAGACAGUGAUCUCGCAAACGUCACGCCGGGACCUCGCCCACCGGAAGAAGUCGAGCGCCUCCUUCCAGUCUCUCAUCCCACCCAAGACCGCCACCACGGUCCUGGAAGGAAGAUGGCCCCCGCUCCACGACUCUAGAGCCGUGGCCAGAUCUUUCCCACGCGAGAUACCAUUUCGUAUUGCCUGGAGAACAGCGUCUGCUCGGCCUAUGUCCGGAGUCCACUUUGUGGAGCCGGGAUUUUUCCUGGUGUCCCCUCGAAAGUCACUGCUCCUCGACUGUUGAUGAUACCAAGUCUUGGCAGAUGGAGCCUCGGAUUUCUUGGGGAAGUUUUCUCCUUCCACGACUGGUGCUGCAUUGCUGCUGCUGCUGCUGCCGCCCUCGUCUACACUCCCCUGCGAGCUACUAGCGAGAAUUCUAGGGCUCUUGGAAGCAAUGGGCGAGAAUGCAGCGGCGGCGGCGAUAGGCGUGUAGAGCACCCAAGCCAUUUGGAUGGCGCGAUCGCUUCGAGCUCUGCGUGGAAUCAAAACUCACCGCGCGCGCCUCCAUGCAUUCCCGGGAGCCCUAAAACUUAAAAUCGUUUUUACAUUCAGUUUACCGGGUGGCAUUGUUCCAUUAUUAUAUAGCUUUCCACAACAAAGAUGGAUGACUCAUUUGGAUGACUUUCCUGAGAUGACUUUUGAUUUUUCUUUCGAGGGGAUAGAUCUAGCAUGAAACCAAACUUGUUACUCCAAAUUUUGAAAAGCAGACUUCCACGCUUGAGGGCCCAUUUCAACUCUCGGAAAUGAGCCUCUCGGAGACUUCAAGCCGGUUGGUGGGCAGAGUUUUUAAUUCUAACGAGAGAAAAAAAACGCCAACCAUACAAUAUGUGACUAUGGCAUUUAAAAAGCGGGUUUUUAGCAGGAGGAAAAAGUUACAGGAUGCUCUACAGGUUUUUAAAAAUGCACACCACAGGUACGAAAUGCCAAAGUUGGUGACCAAGAUUCACGGUAUUAUUAAGACAAGCAUUGUGAAUAUGGUGGAAGGCACUUUCAGGCUCCCCAGCACAUAUGACAAGGUUCUUUGGCUGUGAGCUUGGGGCACAAUCUAGUUUCAAUGACAAAACCAGCACUUCUAUUGUAGAUAAAAUGAUAAGUCUUAAGUGUGUGCUGCAUAUGGAUCUCCUCGUCAGUAGCAAGGUGAUGAAGAAGUUUUAUACUCAGAGCGACAACGUUGGGAAAGACAAGAGGGUUGCCAAAGUGUUUUUAAGGAGCCAAAGCAGCAAAAACAAAAACUAACAGAGAUGAUGAUCAUAUUGAAUGACAGAUUGAUGAAUCUCUAGAAGAGCGUCUGAGAGAGCAACUUACUGCAGCUGCACAUCUAUGAUUCUUCCUUGAUUCGUAAUGCUGACCUUCUAGAUGUUAUGUAACAAAGCAAAGAGAUUUGUGCUGUGAGUCAUUAGAUUGUUAAAAUUUCUAAUGCUUUGUUUGAAGUGUUUUAUCUUUCUCAAUGCAUUUGCAAGCCUAGUGACAGUUGUAUGUUGCUGAACGACUUUGCAAUUGUACUUGAUUCUGGAGGAAAAAUCUUACGUCACAAAGCUCAAGUUUCUCAUGCUCCAUCUCCUUGCUUUCCAGGAUAUAAUCAGCAAACCUCACCACAUUAUUCCAUUCCACCAAGCUCCACCGUUUAUUCCUGGGCCACCUUCAAGCCAUAUUUCCCCAAUUUCUCACAUUCCUUUUGCUAGUUCACCACUAUUUCAUUUUCCGCCUUCUUGUCCUCCUGGCACCUGCUGGGCCUUUCCUGGUUCUCAUUUCAGGCCAAAAGAACAUUGUAAAUCUGCUUACCGCGGAGAGUAUUGUCGAUGGGUUUAUCCAUUUCUUGUCUUCGUCUACAGCCGUUUGAUCAGGUUGAGAAUCUGAACACGACUAUAUCAAUAAUUUUAUACUCGUCUCUCGAAACAUGGACCUAUGGACCAUUCAAGUCCAAGAGGAAAAGUCGCUGCUUCCCUCCGUGUAGUCACUGUGCCGUAACUCUUUCAAAGCUAAUCAAACUAUUGCUCCGUCUCCAGAAGAAAUAAAACUGUUGACCUGGUCCGAUGAAGCUUCAACUUCAGUGCAACAGUGGAUCAGCUGUGCCAAAACCAAACAGCAUCCUGCUUGCAAGAAACAAGGUACAGAGCUAUUUACCCUUUCCUUCUUUUCGCUUUGUCGUGGAGCAUGCAAGAUCAACGCAGGACAACAAAAAUCUAGAUUGGAGGGUUGGCGAUUUUCGUACAUUUGUGCUUGCUUUUUCAAGGAAGACAAGACAAAGCGAUUUUGUUAUGUAUCGUGUUUUCAAAAGCAGCAGCAGUGCCCCGAUUGAACAGCAACUUGCAUAAUCUCGGCCCCAGAAAAAUCCUCGAACAAUACAGAUUCUGCGUUCACUUAGCCCAGGAGCUACCAUUCCCAAGUGAUCUGGAGAGGCAACAAUCUUGACCGCCAUCGAAGUUUGUGGUCUCAUGCCUCCAGCUGGUCGCUUAUGACCCUAUAAACAUGUAUAUGUAAAAAGCAUCUCUUGACAUAUUUAAAACGAAAGGGAUGUAGUCUUGGCGGACUACAGGACUUUUAGCACUUCUUCCAGGUCAACACGAUCUCUACGUAGUGGAGAAGAAGACAUGAAAAAGACCGGGAUCACAUAAUCAAUCUCAUCGAACUCUAAGUUUGAUCAUGCUCUCGAGAGUUUUUCUCCUAAGAUCACUGUAAGUAGCCCAGGACAUCGAGCAAACCCUCUGAUUCCAGCAAGGGCACCUCUAGAAAGUCUAGGUUAAGCAGGGCUUGAUCUUGCAUCAGCGCGCUCAUCCCGUCGUCAUCGCUGCUGUCCAAGGCGUCGAGAUUGUCACUGUUGUAGCUGAUGUUGUUACUGUUCAAGUCCUCGUCCGCUGCGAAGCCAUAGCUCUCAUGGCCCAAGUCUUCUUGGCGCCGAUUAUAGCGUUCUAGAUUUUGAGCAAGAUCGCUAUAACUCAUUGACAUGAACUUUGGAUCAUCUUGUUGUUGUUGUUGUUGAUGAUGGUGAUGCUGGUCAACUUGAACGGAUCCGGGCUCUUGCAGAUCCGCAUUCACGACCUCGAUGCUCCAGGAAGUGUGGGCACCAAUGCCGGGCAUGAUCGAGAGACUGCUAGUAGACGAUCCCUCGGAGUUGAGGCUGCAAUCAGUUUCGGGCGACGGGAAGGCGGAGAAGGACGAGGUGAAAGAUGUGUUGCGGCUGAAGAAGCUGGUGUGGGAAUUGUGUGUGUUCUUGUGUGUUACAGGCGAUUUGAUUGUCGACGAAUUGUAGUGGAGUAGUGGCUUGUGGUUCUUGGGGUCGAUCCCCAUGCCCAAGAGCCUCUUGCUCAGGUGGAAGUUCCAGUAGUUUUUAAUCUCGUUGUCGCUCCGGCCGGGAACUCGACCAGCAAUGAUGGACCAUCUGCAAACGAAUUCGAUCAUUGGUCAGACAAGAACUUGAUGAUUGACUCAUCAUGAUCAAGCUUUGUUUAUACCUGUUGCCAAGAAGAGAGUGCAGCCUGAUGAUGAGAUCUGUCUCGUCCUCGGAGAAUUUGCCUCGCUUGAUAUCCGGCCGCAAAUAAUUGAGCCAUCUCAACCGGCAGCUCUUGCCGCAUCUCAGCAAUCCUAUCGAAAGACAAAAGUUCAGUACUUUGGAAUUGGAUAGACACAGAAAUCUCAGAAGUUCUUUUUGCGUUUGAUUUACCAGCUGCUUUGGGGACUUUCCUCCAGUUGCCUUUGUCGCCCUGGCGCUUGAUAUACUCCGUGAGGAGCGCGUCCUCCUCGGGCGUCCAUGGCCCCCUGUUGAAAUACGCAUUGCUGCAGCAAGUGCAAGGCCCUCUUCCCAUAUCGAUCUCCUCGCUCGAUCUUUUGGAUCCAAUUCGCAGAUCUAGUGCGACUUUCUUUCCUUCACCUGAUGAUCUUGGCUAGAUGCUUCUCUCCAGACAUAGUAAUGUCUUUUCGAGCUUAUAGCACAAAGGAUUCAUACAAGACACAUGAAGAGAUCUUUAAGGACACUACGGGGGAGAGAAACAGGGUUCGCCUUUGAAUGCACUUAUACCCGGAGCUUGCAUCCUCGUGGGAAACUGCCGACUCCCCAGCAUCCUGGAAGUGACACUCAUGGAAAUUGCCCGGCUCUUGCCUAUAUGACCCGGCUUCUAUACAAAUUCUCGGGUGUCGGUAAAGAAAACACGAUCGGAUUUUUUUAAUCCACGUGUCGCAGGGUGGCAUGGCAUCAAAUUGGAGCAUCAAUCAUGCAGCAAUACAUGGCUCACUGUUCACGAGAGGAAGAAGAAGGUCUUUCGCUGGGGAACUUGUCAGAGAAGCAUAAAAAGGGAAGGCUCGAUUUAUUUUGCACGUCAAAGUCGCGAUUGCCGGUGGUCAUGAGACGUUUAGAGGUUUUAACAGAGGUUUGCCCGGUCAGUGUUGGCAUGCUCUUUGUCCAUAUGACCAGAUUUUUCUCGCAAUUUUCCCAUCACGUGGACACGAGGAAAACUUGACGGAAAUUGAUAAUUUAGGUCAUUGACAAAUCGACAAAAGAGAAGCGAAUUCAAAAAGGAUCGAGUGGAAUAUUCUGUUCUUGGCGGGCGUUUUUGUUUUCUAUCAGACGCACUUGGACGUUUGCUAAAUGCAAUUUUUUCUUCCCUUAGCCACGGCUCGUCAAAGAUUCCAAGAUUCCAGGAAUUGACCGAGCGCCAAAACGUCUGCACGAGUUUAUGAACACUCGUGAUGAUGACGUGUCAAAAUACACCUUCCGAACGACGUAACACCACCCGAUUCUUCUUUCUCGGCUCGAAUUGGACGUGAGGUUGAUCAAUCAGGUUUUUCUUUUCAGCAGAAAGAAAAAAUCACUAACACCUCACAUGUGAGAUAAGCUGAUCGUCAGCACCCCCAUGCUCCAUAAACUUUAGGGUACUCUUCCCUUCGGAUAGCAAUGUGCACAUCAUUGCAGAGACAGACAUUCUUAGCCUCCACAAAGGCGGCAUUGAGAUAUUCAUGGAUUAGCUGCCGAUUAAGAAUUCUGGCUGUCGCCUGUUAGGCGGUAGAGAGCGCGCAGUGCUAGCCUUGAAUCUCUCCUCUCUAAUAGAGACCUCUAUCCUCCUUUUGUGCCCGAUCAUGGGCCUUGGAAAUACAAUUGGAUGUGUCCUGGAGCCUGGAGGGAGCUGCAAAUCCGUGGUAGUGACAGAGAGAGUGUUGCCACGAUCCACCCGAGAAGUUAAACGCACUUUCAAUCCAGUGGCAACUCCAACUCCCCAGUUUUCGGAAGGUAUAUUCUGACACGUCAUCGUCCUACGUGGUCCCACGUGGCACAUGAACUUUGGAACCUCCAUGAUACGAUCUUCCCGCCGUCACCAUCCCGCCGUGGCGUACCUGGGCCGAUCUGGGAGCGAGCUAGGCAGCUCCAUAUCUCCCUGGAGCAUCGCGAGCGCGUGGCCAAUCCCGAUCCUCACGCCCACCAGCGGGUGAGCGCACAGCAGCGCCACCACCACGAACCUCUCCAUGACGCUCCACGGCCCCGCGUUUCUCACCCUCUCGUCCACCACCUCGAUGCUCUGGCCGCGCCGGACCAGCUCCCACGCCCAGUCCGCUACGUGAACCUGUUCGUCCCUGGCGCUGGCAACUUCUCCCUCCAGUUUUUCUCGCGAGCUUCUCGCCUCGGGAGCGUGAAACAUCGGCCUUCGCCCGCUGAGCAGCAGCAGCAUCACCAUCCCGAACCCGUAAACGUCCGACUUUGGCGUCAGGUGGCCGUAGAGGGCGUACUCCGGUGCCACGAAGAAUGGCGUCCCGGCCACCGAGGUGGCGCUUUUCUGUGGUGGUGUGUCUGCUGGGGCCGGGACUACGGCCGCUGGUACCGCUUUCACCAGGCCAAAGUCGGCCAGCCGCGCGUUGAGGCCCGAGUCGAGUAGGAUGUUGCUCGGUUUUAUGUCCCGGUGGAUGACCCCUGGCUGCAGCUCGUUGUGGAGGUAAUUGAUCGCGAUGGCAAUGUCCACGGCGACCUUCCUUCGCAGCGGCCAAGACAAGAACCUGCUGCCAAAGAGCGCGUUGUCGAGGUUGCCGUUUGGCAUGUAGUCGUAGACGACCAUGAUCCUGCUCUGCUGGUUCAGGAGCAGCCCCUGCUUCGCGUCGGAGAUCGCACAGCCCCGCAGCUGCACCAGCGUUUUGUGCUUAAAGCUGUUGACGAGUUUCAUCUGCUCCAGGAAUUUCUUCUCGUCGUCGUCGUAAAAGUCGUGCAGGCAGCUCUGUUUCAUGACCUUGACGGCAACCUCGCCUCGUCUCCGGAGAACACCCCUGUAUACUCGGCCAGAGGCUCCCUCCCCGACCAACUUACUGUGCGAGAAAUUGUUGGUAGCCGCUUUCAGAUCCUUCGCCUUGAAAACCACCAGCCCGGUAUUUGGCAAAAGGUUUGCGAGCUUCAAACCGUUGCUGGCGGUGUAGGUUGGUCCGAGCUCUGAUAAAAGAACGUCCUCCAUUGCCCUGUUCUUGGUGUACAACUUCCAAAUGAUGCCACCUAUAACGACCAGGAAAACCACGCUUGCUCCAGUAAGCACCACCGGCAAGACUAUUCUCAAACUGCGGCUUGAAGAGCCGCCUGUGGCAAGCGUGCCGGCGAUGUUUAUCCCCAGCAAGCACUCCACUGUCGAAGGUUCCGAUGGACCUCGAUCGUUUAUCACCCCUGCUGCGUAAAGGACUGUGAAGUACAGGCACUCCAGUCGACCCGGAGAAAUGCUGUUCAGCGUCCUCACCACCUCUUCCGCAUCGGCUACGCAGCUCUGGCAAGCAGCACCACUGGAUAAAUCCCCAGCGCACGAAAUGUCCAUGGGAGUCUGUCCCACUACUCUGUCCCAGUCGGCCGUCGUAGUUAUCCCAGCACAGAGAUCCGGACUUUGAAUGAAGCGCGAUGGACUUUCAUAUGGGACUGGGAAGCAGGUGCUCACGAAGUUCUGCUGCACAUUGUUUAUCGUAAGGUUGGAUUGGAAGUCGGCUAAGCAGGCAGUUGCGGUGGCGUUGUCCCUGAACUCAAAUCCACCUGUAGUCUUGAGAUUCUCGGCUAGAGCGAUACCCAAUGAGUUGAGCAGAGCGGAGCAGCAGACGGUCACGUUGGUCUGGAGGUUGGUCUGAUCGCACGAACGCAGAGUCGACGGGAAUUUGCUGAGAUAGUCGAAUCCCACGGGGCAAGAGGCCUGAGCUGCAGCAGCAGCUAUAAACAUCGUCGCUGUCACCAUAACUAAGGCCGCUACUGGUUGAAAGAACUUACAUGCUCGACGAUUCCUUCUCGACGCCAUCACCAGGCAAACACAGCAGCAAGAAUAUGCUUGUAUAUGCUCGCUGCCUAGUUGAAUAGAGAGGUGAGAAAGACGUAUCCAAGGGAACAAAAUAGCUCACCAAGUUUGAAUAAAAAAACUCGGCUUGCGUAAAUUACAAACAAAACUCCACGAGCUUUUGGUGAUUCGCCAUCCAAACACGAAAGCGACGCUCCACAGUGCGCGUCCUGCCAAGAAAGCAGAAAGUAGAUUGAGUUCACGUUUCAAAAACGAUCGUUUUGGAACUCACCAAAUUGUCAGAUAGAUUCGACUUGGACCGUCAAAUCUGUGAUCCCAGCUUUGUUGAGCAGCCGUGCAACUUUGUCUCGAACUCCAUUUUUGUCAGCCGUGUAAGCGUGCAAGUGCAAGCUUCCUACGAUUUCGCUAUUUGUGCAGCUCCACACGUGCAUCCGCUCGAAUCCAGCAACACCUUCGACGUGCCGGAUCCGCUCCAGCGCCUCGUGCAGCCGUUUCUCAACCGAUCUGGGUGUUCUUUGCAGCAAGAUCUCCGCGGAGUUAGUCAGCAACGGGACCGCGGAGACGAUGAUCAUGGCCGAGAUGAAAAUGGAGCACGCUGGAUCCGUGAGCAUCCAUCCCUUGUACUGUAUCAAGACGGUAGAGAUCACCACCCCGACGCUGCCCAGUGUGUCCGCUAGGACGUGCAAGAAAAUCCCCCGCAUGUUGUGAUCAAUGUGGUGGUGGUGAUGGUGGUGAUGAUGGUCAUGCUCGUUCUCGUGCUGCUCGUCCUCCUCUUUGCGAUGGUCAUGCUGGUGAUGACCGUCGAGGUGAUUGUGGACGUGGUUCGCUUCGUGGCGAUGGUGGUGGUGGUGGUGGCUGCAAGUUUCUUCAUGUCUGCUUUGAUCUGGAGUCUCACUGCCCGGAGAGUGUUGCUUAUCCCCGUCUUCGUGGUUGUGGUCAUCGUGCGAAUGAUGGCUAGAAUGGUGCUCGUGACCCGUGUCAGUCGAGUGUUGGUGUUCCUGAUGAUGUUCCUGAGAAGAAUCCAUAUGAUGAUAAUGAUGCUCCUCCUCCACCUCGAGUUUGAUGCUCAACUCUCUGCUCAGCUUUUUCUGACUGUGUCCAUGAUCACAGUGAUGCUGCCCGUGAGAAUGGGGAUGAUGUGCGUGGUGGUGCUCGUCGUGAAAGAAAACGAGCCCCACGAGGUUCACGAGCAAUCCUCCAACAGAAACCAGCAACAGCUUCUCCGUAGAAAUCUCUGGAGGGUCCAGAAUUCGUUCGAUGGACUCGAGCACUAUAAGGGAGCCGACCAGCACCAGCAACACGGCGUUCGCGUAACCCGACAGAACUUCGAAACGGCCAUACCCGUAGCCGAAGACUGCGUUUGGCUGAAGCUUGGAAAUGUACGAGGCAUACAGCCCGAUGCCCAGUGCUGCGCAGUCGAAGAGCAUAUGACAGGCGUCGGAGACGAGUCCCAAACUGUUGCUCAUAAAACCCGAGACGAAUUCCACCACCAUAAAAGUCGCGUUCAUGGCCAGGAAAAACGCGAUCUUCCUCGACUUUCGAUCAGCUGCAAUGUACCGAAGCGGGCCCUUGACGAAAGACUCCGAGGCCUCCUUUUCUGCGAUGGAAUCCCACGUAAAAGAGGGGCUGGUCCCAGAGGAUUCCCGCACAGCAAAGAAGAAGAUGGCCGAGCAUGCGAGGAAUCCCAGCGGAGAAAUAUCCAGCCCGAACACAAGCUCCAGUAGACACGCGCAGGAAAAGGUGAUGAACAAGUGCCUGGAAGUCCCUGCCGGCAUUUGCAGCCUGUCCUCGAAGUAAAAGUCUCCCAUGAUCGAUCGAGCAAGUCCGAGAACCAGCAUGCUACCCGCCGGCCACAAAGCGGAAGCGUGUGCCACGAAGAAACUCUCGAGCUGGAGGAGUGCCAGAGGAAGAAUGAGCAGCGUAGCGCAGAUGCUAGACAGGCCAUGAACACGUUUCUUGGUGAUCAUCCGGAGGGACGUCCGAGUUGACACGAGUUGGACGACGUAGCUCAGCAAGCCGGAUAAGAUUGGUUUCCAAACUGGCCUGUUUCCACAGCUUGAUCGGGACGUCUCUGCCGCUGCCACCUUUCCACUACUUGGCGGCAUCAAAAUCCUCAGCCUGUCCUUGAUCGCCAAAGGCGAGCACGAUUCCACUGUCCAGCCUUGUGAUAGUAGAACAAGCCCGAGAACUGUGAGCAAAACACCACGUAGCGUUUUUCUCUUUGCGUUCUUCCCGAGAACCAAUCUGCCUAGCACGGACCCCGCAUAGUGACCAAGAAUCGCUAUCAGCGGCCCACACGAUCGCACCGCUUCCAGCUUGAGGAAGACCGAGAGUGCGAGGAGCAAUCCAUUGGCAGCGAGAAGAAUCCACUGCGACGUAGCUAUGGACGAGCGUCGCAGCGUCCGCGCUUGCUUCUCUUGGAGGAGCGCGAAGCUGAUGGAGGAGGCGAGCAAGACGAGGAAUGCGAAGAUCACGGUGGUGGAGGGCGACGAGGACGAAGAAUGCGCUGAGAGCCACGAGUGAGCGACGUAGAGAGGCAGAGUGUGGAAGACGAGUAGCAAGAACCAGGCGGGGGCUUCCGGCGGCCUAGGGCGGGGGCGAGGCGUGGGAGAAGGCGAUGGAAACGACGAUGGAGGGAAUGGCGAUGGGGAGGGCGAGAACACCGAAUGGCUGAAGGACACAGAUCGAGUAGCGCGCGGAGGUACCUUGAGAGGCGCCACUGGAGGACGAUCCUGUUGGCGCUGAGGCUCCUCCAUGGCGAAAUCCCUGGAUCAAGACCGAAAUAUCAAUGAUCUUUGCCGCUGCGUAACCCUGAUCGCGAUCGAGAUCGCGCGCUCACGAGGCCGCAUUAGAGGGAUCCGGUGCCAUACUCCCUCCCCUGUCGCAAGACUAGGGUUAGGGUUUAUGCUGGGUCAACAAGGCGAGCGAGGGAAUGUCGUGGCUUAGAUCUGCGCUAAGCAAGGCCGCGGACAAGGCCGCGGAGGUAGGGAGCAAGAACAAUCUCAGUCGCACCGUGAAGAGCUAUGCUGGCGCUGUCUAUCAUCAAGCAGCUGGGAGCGCAAAGAUCGUCCAGGAUAAAUUGGUAUGCCUCGAUUCCUCGCGCUCUGCUAGGCAGCAUUUUUUUUCAUUCUCUAGAGAUAGCGCUAGAGAUUCUUUGCGUCAUAGACUUGCAGCGAUGGAUCCUUGCGAAGAAUUUGGAGCUAGUCGUCGAGCUUGAAGUUUUCUUGCAUAGGAAGAAAGAAGCUGUAACGAAUAGAGAUAUGCACUAAAAAUCAGUGAGUUCUUUUUUGAGCUUGUGACUCACAUUUUUCCUUUUUCCAGUCUGUGAGAAAUCUAAACAGCUUUAAGGAUGCUGUCAAGCGCCUCAACGAAGUCUCUCUCCAUGCAAGAGGUGCCGAGAGGCUUCAGGCACUUGGGAGAUGGCUUGCUGCACUCAAAGAAAUCGAUAGAGAGACUAAAAGGACGGGAAACUCGAAUCCAGCGUCUCCGAGAAACUCAGAGAGCGAAGAAAUGGCAACGUCGCCAAGGAGGCCUUACAUGGUGCGCACUCUUUUGUUUUUGCUUGUUCUUAUUGUAUUCAAUCUAGGCACUGUUUUACGACAUGGAGAGUGGAGGCGAGCCAAUGAAUUUUCGUGAGGUCUUUUUGCAAAGUCGUGCUCUUGAGCACAUUAUUACUUCACUGGUAUGGCUCUAUUCAAGUUGCUACCUUUUCAUGUAUGUUGUUGACAUGUCUUUUCAGAUUCUUGAAGCUCCCCAGGACGAAGAAAUUGGAGUUUUAGUCGAGAUUUUCGGGUAAACAGCUUUUAUUUUGUAGUUUUCUUUAUACUUAAUUAUUCGGGUGCAGCCUGUGUCUAGCGGGAGGACAGGAGCUGCACAACGCGUUCAUAAGCAGCAUUCAAGAUUUGGCGAAAGCGUUCUCAACACUUUCAGAAGAAGUUGAAGUUCGGUGCUUGUGUAUACUCCUUUUGGUUCUUAAUGCUAAAUUUUUUACAGAUAAGGAGAUCAGAUUUGCUCGAACUCGCACAAACAGCUGUCACUGGUUUGAAACUGAGCACGGAGGCAGAAAAGUUGAUUGUUUGACUUCUUGCUUUUUAUUCUGUUCUAAAGUAUGAGCUCUUUGCUGUAGGCUGGACGUGGAAAUGUUCUUUUUAGAGCAGAAGAUGUCCGACAAACAAGGUGUGCCUUUGUCCAAAGACAGUAACGAGGUUUGCCGAGAGUUCUUAUACUUACGGCUUCUUAGACUAAAUUUUAUAGGAUGCCAACAUAACCGCAGAAGUACUUGAAUAUGGAGCUCGUGUGAGACACUACUUACGGAGGAAAGAAGAACUCUUGCGAGCAGGAGAUACUGCAAAAAGCAGAACAGAGAAAGUCUGAAGCUUUUACAUAUCUGCAAUGAAACAUUAUCGUGCCACUUGUGCAGGUUCAGAAGCUUAAGGAAGUUACGGAGGGUCUGACGAGCUCAAUAAGUGGAAUAGAGCAAAAAAUUUCGGAGAACAGGUAACUGGUAUCAGUUAUCUCUGCAAUGCUUAUGUGUGCCAUGCACAGGCAACAAAAGGAGAAGGCUAUCAAAUACAGAGACUCUAAAGCUUCUGAAGUUGUAGAAACUGAAAAGGUCAGUAAGGCAUGGCAUAGUAGCAUGGUUUGAUUUUUCAAUCUCUCUUAUAGGCACUGUCUUCAGAAAUUCAAGCCCUCCAUAAGAGAAAAGAGCAAUUGGAGGCUGAGUUGAAGGAGGUGAGUCUUCUACUUCAAAAAAGAACUGCCUAAUAUAUGUUUGACAUACAAGGUGAAUAGCGCUUUGUCUUCUGCAACCGCCCGACAUAUCAACACGCAGGAAGAAAAAGCUCAGUUUGACGAAGCAAGCAGUAAUAUUGUGGCGCAUCUGUCCAUACAGGUCCAGAGCAAUUGUAUCUGUUUCAUUGUAUGACUUUCAUUUUUCUAGGAAGAAGAGUUAACGAAGUCUAUAGCUGCGCGGAGGGCUGAAGCAGGUGUAGCCAGCACUUGGCUAGGAUUUUUGGAAGACACCUGGCUUCUCCAGUCAGCUUGUCUUGAAGAAAAGACCAAAGCUAUCCAGUGAGUGGGACUAAUGCAAGUAUAAGCUUAAAAGUUUACUUACAUUGUUGUGCAGGCACGAUUCGCAAGAAGCAAAGCUACAGUUUCUAUCGAUUGCGUCAAUGAAUCUUUCUUACCAUCAGGUUUAGUUUACAGAUCUGUGUAUUUUCUAAGCUCACUUUCGAAUGCAGGAGGAAAUAAAGCUUUUGCUAAAGCGUCUAAAACUUAUCAGCAGUGAAGACAACGAGACAGACUCAACCAUCAGGCAGAGCUUCUUGGAAACUGAAAAUCAGGUAGCUUAAUAAGUUGACAUUUCUACCUGCAUUUGUAAUUUACUUGCACAGGUGAUUCGUGUUCUGAAACUCAUGGAGAGUUUGUCGGACGACGUCAAAACUUUUGAAAUAAAAGAAGACGGGUAAUGUGCAUUGCCGGAGUUUCUUUACAUUCCUUCUAACUAGCACUAUCCACUGGCAGGGACGAAGUAGAGAAAAAACUCCUGAAGUGUAUCGGAGCCAUCGAUUCCUUCAAGACAGAACUCAGAGGACUGAAGCGACCAGAGCUAGAAACCGGAAAAGUUAAAAGUCCAGUUUCUACAAGCCCAGAGGUGCGUGACGAAGAAUCGAAAGCGGAGCCGGACGGUCAAGAGGCCGAGGCAACAGACGGCUGGGAGCUGGACACUCUAGAAGAAGCGUCCACCUGAGAGUACGUCCUUGUAAAUAAUUGUUCUUCACGAUUCACGCGUGUAAAUAGCUUCACAGUUUCCCGAGCACGGGAGAAUCCUCAGACGUUUAAAGUGUUGGAGAGAAGAACGUAAGAACCGGAGCUAUCCUCCUCCUGGGAGUGCCGGAGGACUUGGCCGGCAAUCCGAUCGCCAUGCUUCGAGUUUCUAUGAAGAUUACACGCACCGAGGAGAGAUGUCCAGGGAACGCUGUUUGCUGCAAACGGCAUGGUGGUGAUGAGCUCCUCGGCUUCUUCCAGCCUUCCGGAGCGAGCCAGCAGAUCGACCAGGCAGUGGUAGUGCUCGGCAGUGGCCGUAAGUCCGUGAUCCGAGAUCAUCGACAUGAAAUACUCCCAGGCACAGCUUAGCAGUCCUGCAUGGCCGCACGCCGAGAGAAUGCUCGUGAAAGUCACGUCCACAGGCAAGACUCCUUCCAGUGACAUGAGCUGAAACACUUGUAGAGCUUCCUCUUUGAAGCCGUUUUGCGCGUAGGCCGCCACCAUUCCACUCCAAGUCACCACUGUCUUGCAAGGGAUCUCGUCGAAGACCAGCCUCGCGGUGCGCAAGCUGCCACACUUUCCAUACAUGUUGACGAUGGCGCUCAGCACGAAAGUGUCGGAUCUUACGUGACGGCUGCUCCGGACGAUGGAGUGGAUCAUCCGGGCCUCCGUGAUCGUCGCAAGAACAGUGCAAGCAUCGAUCGCGCUGACGAAAGUUCCUUUGUCCGGACGAAGGCCCUCGAGAUCCAUGGCAGCGAACAACGAGAUUGCCCGUUUGCAUUGCUUGCCGUGGACUAGAGCGUGGAUCAUCGUCCCCCAAGAGACGGAGUUCUUCUUUGGCAUCGUCUCAAACAGGUGUCUUGCCGCGUCCCCUUGGCCACAGUGGGAAUAUCCCGCCAGCAUCGCGUUCCACGACGCAGUGUCUCUUUUGGGGAUGCUCUCGAACAAGGCCACCGCAUCUUCCAGCUGCCCGUUCUCGGCAUAUGCUGUUAACAUAGCGUUCCAGGAGACCACAUUGCGCUCUGGCAUCUUUUCAAAUAUUUCCUUGCACUUUGCAAUAUUCCUUGCCUCCGAAUAUGCCACUAAAAGCGUCGUCCAGGAGAACACAUCCGGUUGUACCAUGGAAUCAAAAACAGACUGGGCUUUAUCAAGAUGCCCAUUGUCGGCAUAUGCUUUGAUCAUAGCGUUCCACGUUACUGCGCUCCGACGUGGCAUUUGGUCAAACACAUUUUUCGCAUCAGUUAACCUUCCGGACUGCCCGUAUGCAACGAUUAUAGCUGUCCAGGAGACGAUGUUCUUGAAAGGAUUCUCAGCAAAGAGUGUCUCGGCUUUCUCAAAUUCCCCAUUCUGGCAAUAAGCGCAAAUUAUCGUCGACCAAGAUACCCCAUCCCUUUGCGGCAUUCGAUCGAAGAACUCCUUUGCCAGAUCGAGCUCAUCGUUCUGAAUGCACGCUUGCAUCAUGCUGUUCCACGACACAACAUCUCUCCGCGGCAUCUCCUCGAAGGCAGAGAUCGCAUCGUAGAGGCGGGAGCUCUGGGCAAAUGCCGCGAUCAUCGUGUUCCAAGAUACGACAUUCUUGCUUGGCAUUCGAUCAAACAGCGCCUCCGCAUCCGCGAUAUGCCCGUUUUGGGCAUACCCGGCGAUCAUCGCGUUCCAAGCCACAGUGUCGGGAUUGCGCAGGGAAUCAAACAUCUCUCUCGCUUUUUGUAAUUGCCCUCUUUGGGUAUAUCCAGAAAUCACAAUUGUCCACGAGAUACAGUCGGGAUUGGGCAUCUUUUCUAGAACUCUGAUUGCCUCGGCGAGCUCUCCAUUGUUGGUGUGAGCUUGUAUCAUGGAGUUCCAGGCGACUGUGUUGCGGUCGGGCAUUCUCUCGAAUAACUCUCUCGCCUCGUGGAUUCUCCCAUUGCGGGUAAAUGCCGCAAACAUGAUGUUCCAGGAGAACUGGUUUGGGCGAUCGAUUCCUCGAAACACACUGCAUGCUUCAUCGAUGCUGCCGCACUUUCCAUACAUUUCAAUCAGCAAAUUGCUCAGAAACCUGUUGUAUCUUUGCUCGCUUUCGAGGAUCUCCUUGUGGACUCGCCUGCCUUUGCGCAAAUCUCUCUCAUGGCAGCAAGUUUUGAUGAGAGAAGCAUAGAGUUUUGGAUCCGUGGAGACAUUCAUAUGGUUUAAGGCAUAUUGAUUUUACUUGAACAAAAAUCUAUUGCCCGGCCUUCGUUCUAAGGAAACAAACAGACAAACGUACUUAGUGUUUUUUGACCGCCCCUUGUUAUUCACGAGCACGUCCUCUUCGCACGCAUCGAUCGAGGCCCAGAGAGUUGCAGGCUACGACAUCCCAAAGAAUCCAAUGCUGUUUGUCAAUGUCUUGCUUCGCUCAAUCACGCCCGCUCUGAUUUGCCAGCUACAUAGAGACGCUAUAGCCAUGCAACAAAGAAAGGGGAAUGUUGUUCUACGUCAAUUGCGCUGCAAGAACCGAGCCGAAAAUGUCGCAGAUGGACGAUUUGAGUGCUCAAUGUUAUAUUUCUAGUACGUAAUUGAAAAAAAAAAAUCUUAUAUAGUUUACCAAGCACAAGUGAUCAAAGCGCAAAAAGAGCAACAUACUUUACUGAAAGGUAAACACGGGUAAAACAAUGGACCGCAUAGCCGGUGUAUAGCUAGAAAUGUACCACACAAGUAGGAAAUUGAAUAGAUGAAGUAAUAUAACCUCUUACCAGUAGUAGAAUUUGUGGUGGCCCUGCUGCAUUCAGCUACUAGCCACAACAGGGUAGCAAUUAGUAAAAUAUAUAUGCUCCUCAUAUUUCUAGAUUAUAUUUUGGGUGGAUUGUUGCAAUGUUUUAUAGAAUAAGAAGCUGAGUUGUAAAGAGUUUAUUUCCUUUAAAUUUAUUUUGAAUUUUAUUUUAAGUUGGUGACACCUUACAGACAGUCAUGAAUUGUGCUAUUAGUGGCAAACAAAUGUUGAUCAUCAUUGAAAAACAAAAGACUCACGACAUUAUUAAAUUGUUUUUUUUUUAGGUUUUUGUCUGGUUGUUUAUCCUAACAAUUUUAAGUUAAGAAUUUUGACUGGAAUUAAUCAUUUUUCAUAAUUUUUUUUCAAGUUUGUAAAAUAUAAACAUAUUAAAUCAUAGGAUUAAUCUAAAUAUAUAUCAACUAAUUUAUUUUGCUUAAGCAAACCUGUGACUGAGAUGGUAGUGAAUAUAUUUAGAAGAUACUUAAAUAUUCUAGGAUAUUCUACCAUCUAACAGUUGUUAUUCAUUUAGAUUAAUCUUGUAUUUAUAAUUUAUGAACAUGUUUAUAAUUUAUAAAAAAAAUUAAACCCAUUCUAGUAUAUUAUUUUUUAUUCUAUCAUUUAAUGGUUGAUAUGCAAUAAGAUUAAUCUUGUGUUUAUAUAUUACAAACAUACUUAUAUUUAUAAAUUUUAUUUGAUCAAUACUAUUAAGCAAACCAAGCUGUAACAUGUAGCAAUUUAUUUAUAUGAAAGACUUCACAGUAUGUUAAUUUAUGUUAAUAAAUUAUUGUGAUAAAGUUUUGUUUAACAAACUUUACAGCUUUUCCUACACGCUCCUGGCCAUUCCUGUGUGCCAACCAUGUAACUUGGAUUCUUGUCACACUCUCCAUAUGCAGCCCAUUCUCCACACUUCUCAUUCUCGUCGGCACACCCCUCUUUCUUGGGCUUCCCGAAUGGAAGAACGUGAAUCCACUUGGUGGCCGACCAUUUCUCGCCUUCUAUCACCGGACACCCGCCGUGCAAGCUCGAUUCAUCCGGAGUGGCAUCCGGAUGUAAACUAUAGAACAGAAGAGCAUCGCCUUUGCGUGGUUUCACUGCAAAAAGGAAUGGCAUCAUUCAAGGCAAAGAUCCAAAGAGCAAAAGGUAAUGGUCUAACCUGCGAUGCCUUUCUUUGCACAGUCGGACCAGGAGUCAUCCUUAACAGUGGUGUCCUCCUAAAAAACCGAAGGAACAGACUAAAACGCUAGGACAAUAAAAUCUGAAUUGGACAAACCUCUGACGAGGGGAAAACUGUCUCGCCUCCCUUGACAGCGUCCGAGAGGUACAUGAGGACGGUGGCUAUACGAUGGCCACCGAGAGCUUGGUUGUAUUUAUCGUGAAAGUAGUCGUAGUGGGGCUCAUAUUUCUCGCCAAACUCGUAGCGUAGGACUUGGAUGGCCUCACCGUUCUCUAGAAAAACAAAUCCAAGGAUAAAACCUCAUAAACUUGGAAAAGAAACUAGAACCUUUUGGUAAGAAAGUCCAUGCGGCAAUUCUUUCCUCGAUCCUGUUAAUCACUUCAUCCUGGAGAGACAAAAGAAUUUUUUUUCUUUCUAAAACGACCGAGCAAGCGAGUACCUGUCCUUUCGAAAGAAACAUUCCAGAGCUCGUUCGAAUGUUGCUAAGGACACUCUUGCCAGACUCGUUGUCAGCCACCAUAGAUUUUUGGAGCUUAUCCUUCGCCUAUAAAACCGAAGUAGCAGAUCAUUCUCUUUUUAGAAUAAAUUUUUUUUUAUGGAGCUAGAGCAACGUACCAUCUUCACGACGUGAUCACACUCCGCAGCACUCAUAAAUCCCUUGUACAAGAACGCUCUAGCCAAAGAACAAAAAGAAAAAAAGAAAAGAAAGACCAAUUCCUCCAACCAGGUCAACUUAAAUCCUGGAAGAGAUUGAAGAACAUACCGAGGUUUCCAAGAGAGUUGGAUGACUUUGGUCGGAUCCACUAUGGAUUGAUCGCUCUUGUCGGUCACAGAUCUAAUAUUUCCAUCCACGGAGUGCCUGGAAAAGAAGAAAAAGGGGAAAAAUGGAGCUGGAGAAGUAGAAUGUAGCAUACUGACGUUUCCCCCAUCCAUCCUGGAAGAUCGUCCACAGCUCCGAGCGCCUGAGACGCGAGCAGCAACAAAAGCGCCAAACGGAAGGCCCCCUCCAUAGCGAAGAAAUAACGAAGAACCCUAAAUCCUUGACCUAAGCUAGGCUAGGUUCGUGGGAGAGAAGGCGGCGAUCGGGGACGAUGGAUGUGGUGACCAGCACGCAAAUGCUCGCCGGCCAGGGGAUUGACAAGGUCGUCGUGCAUCCGCUCGUUCUCCUCAGCAUUGUGGACAACUACAAUCGCGUCGCCAAGGAUACGCGCAAGCGAGUUCUUGGCGUGCUGCUGGGCGCUACCUUCCGGGGCCGUGUGGAUAUCACUAACAGCUACGCAGGUAUGGCCGAUUUGUAGGAGAUUUCGAGGAGAGAAUUUCUGGUUUCCUGGGGAGUCGUGAGAAUUGUUCUUCCUUCUUGCAGUACCGUUUGAAGAGGAUGACAGGGACCCAAGCAUUUGGUUUUUGGAUCACAACUAUCACGAAGCGAUGUUUGAUAUGUUCAAGCGGAUCAAUGGUAAGUUCUUCGUGUUUUUUCUUUGCUUGGCAUUACGUUUGUGCUUGCAGCGAAGGAGCACGUUGUUGGAUGGUACAGCACUGGUCCCAAACUACGUGAGAACGAUCUUGACAUUCACGAGCUCUUUAGGAAGUGAGAAAUUUGUUUCUCUAUUUUUCUUCUGGAUUCUAUCUUGCUCAUUUGUGUGAUUGCUUCUACCAGCUACGCUCCUAACCCGGUCCUGGUGAUCAUCGACGUACAACCCAGGGAGCUCGCAAUCCCUACAAAGGCUUACUACUCCAUCGAAGACGUCAAGGAGAACGCCACGCAAAAGAGUCAAAAGGCUUUCGUUCAUGUGCCAUCGGAAAUAGGAGCUUACGAAGCUGAAGAGAUUGGUAAGAGUUUCCAGAUUACUUAUCUCUUGUGUUAACGUUGUGUUUCGUUCUCUUUAGGUGUCGAGCAUUUGCUACGAGAUGUGAAGGAUGCUACCGUAUCGACACUCGCUACCGAGGUCAGAAUUGACAGAAAAUGAUCACACAAGUUUUUCCUGAUUGAAUGAAGACCUCCAGAUUGGAGCAAAACUACAAUCCCUGAAAGGACUUGAGGCGCGACUGAAGGAGAUACGUGCAUACUUGGACAACGUUGUUGAAGGCCGAUUACCAUUGAAUCACGGGAUUCUUUACCAUCUUCAGGUAAAAACCUCUACGGCGACUUAGUCACUGACAAGCUGUUUUUAAUCAGGACGUUUUCAAUCUGCUCCCCAAUCUAAACGUCCAGGAACUCUUCAGAUCUUUUGUUGGUAAGAUUUCACGCGUUUGGCCAAAGUUUUCUCUCUUAGCUAAGCUCUGUCCAAAUUUUCCAGUCAAGACGAACGACAUGAUGCUCGUCAUCUAUCUCUCUUCUCUUAUCCGAAGCGUCAUCGCUCUACACAAUCUCAUCAACAACAAGGUAUCGUUAUUGAAAGGAGAAAAGCUUUACAAUAUAUUUCUCUUGCUGUGCAGAUGCUUAACAAGGAACACGAGAGACUCGCGGAUGCUUCAUCAGCUGGGUUAGUCAUAACAGCUUCAGCGGGCAGCUAACUUUUCACCCAAGUAUGUACCUUUUUCUAUGGGAAAUUUUUCUCUCUUGGUUUUCUCGUCGAAGUAUUUACAUCAGGGGCCACAGCUAGAAAUCUUCUUGCGACGGUGGUGCCUCGUCGUCGGUGUGCAAAAACCGGUAAAACUUUCCAGUGGGAGGAAUAGACUUGGUGUUGGAUUUGUACAAGCGGCCAUCCCACUCGUAGAAGAGAUUGAGGUUAUCAACGAGCUUGUGGAAAACGUUGCAUCCUUUACACUGCACGAAGAGAAGCUUGCGUGUUUGCGGAGAGGAAAGAUGGAAGAAAUGGAAGAGUUUCUACCUGGACGAAGACUGUUCCAUCUGUGUAAGCGUGAGGAUUGAUAGCUCUCAUAGUUCGCGCUCCACAAACGUUGCAAGUAAACGCCACUCUCAUUCUUCGUCGCGGGGAUUUGCUGAGAAGAGGCCACUGGUUCUCCUCCGAGAGGCUUGAGUUUUCUUUGGAGGUAAAUGCCGGGCCUUCCAAGCCCGAGUCGGUCGUCCAGCCUUUGCCGCUAGCGGCUUGGAGAACCAAUCCCAUUGCCAUCUCCUGUGAAAGAAGAAGAAUUAAAUCUGCCCAAGGGAUGAUGAAAGAACUCCAAAAUUUUACCUGAGAGAGGGGUUGGAAAGGAUUGCUCAAUGGGACUAAACUCCGCGUUGGGUCUUGCUCGCCACCGGUGCUCCCUGCCAAGGAUUUCCAGCAUAAACCCUGAUUUUUCUUGCAUCGCCGCUUACCGGAAUGGAUGGAAUCAAAUGCGAUGUGCAUCGCCGUGCGGGAUGGAUGAAACCUAACAGCGGCCCAAUCCACGCUCCUGCUGCUGCUCCCAGCGGCGGUCGUGUGAGACUUGCCUGCGCCGCGAUGGAUCAUCGCCACCGGUGGAGGAGAGAUGGAGCACACCGCCAUUGCCACUUUGACAAAGGGUUAACGCGGCUCGAAUCGAAUACUUAAAUUUACUCUUAUAUUUAAUAAGCAAAUAUUCAGAACACGUGUCAAUCUCCUAUAGAUCCACGUAGGACGACAGAGUAAAAAACUUGCACCAGAGGAUAUUUUUUAAAUAGUCCUUAAAUGGCCAUAGAUCAUGAGUUCGAUUCCGAGCUCUCAUCGUGAUUGUCACAAACCUUUGCUAAAACUUCGCUAGUUCCCACAUUCUAAUCUCUUGUGAGUAAAAUCCUUCUCAAAAAAUGAAUCACGCUCCAUCUCAUGGCCAUCAAAUAAUUCACUAAUAGAGUUUAGCCGUGUAUAUAGUUUUUGUGUGUAAAUUUUACACCUAACUUUUUCACGCUUUUACAAAUUACACGCCAUAAUAUUUAUAGACGCGUAGCGUGUAUUUUCGUACACCGGUCUCUCUCGUACGGCACAUAGCAUUUUCUUUCUCAGGGGAGCGCUUCAAUGCCGGGGAGUCGCUCUCUUUCCAUCGAGACGGCCACAGCGGCUUGUAUUGCUAACGUAUUGAGAACUUACGCCAGAGUAGUGGCGCGCGCGAUUGAUCAAGAGUAGCCGGGUUUGCGAUCUCUCUUGCGCUGGGAAGCUGCUUCCUUUCCAGAGCGGGCUGAACGGUAAGAUCUUUUCUUUCGUUCCUACUGGUGUUACCACUUGUAGGAUCUCGGCGAGCUCCAGAAGCAUCCAAGAGUUGGACAAUCGUUGUGGGUAUCUUGCGAGGUAAGAUCAUUUCUCUUCUUUCUCGCCUUUCAUAAACUUGUGAUGCAAUCGGCUUGCGCAUUAAGCUAGUAGUGAGACACGCUGAGCCCGGUUCACUAUCAACCGAAGUUGUCUCCUCUCCAUCUCUCCAUCCAGAGGAGUUGAGCGGACUUAAGUCUUUGCUUCAUUCCUCUGUGUUAAUUUUUUGAUUGGUUUCCAGAGCUUAUCAAUUUCAAUUAUUCAAGAGCAGAACAAUUCUGGUUCAUAGAGCAGAGCACUACGUAAGAGAACAUUUGGCUUCCGAGAUCUCUUCUUUUUGUUUUUAAAUUCUAGCCAGGCACGAACGGUAUCUUCGUGUCAAGACGAUCACAGUGCUUUAGCCCGGUUCACUAUCACCUCCAAUCCAGAGGGAGGUGAGCGGGCUGCAAGGUAAUCUUUACUUACAUCUUUGUUUUGCUUUUGAUCUUUGUAUUAGUUUUUAUACCAACCAGUGAAAAGCUGGCUCUGGGAAUUAAUACUUAUGAACCCAAGACUUAUUCCAGCAUUGGUUCAGGCGAUAUAUUGAUCUCUACGAUCUUCCUGUUGAAGUUAAGUUGGAAGCAAGAGCUGUCAAUCAUGUGCAAUAAUUUUCAGUUGUUUUUAUGCAUAAAAUUCGAAAACAUGAACUCAGGCUGGAGGAGUAAACCGACGAUGUGACGUAUGAUCAAAAUGGUCAACUUUUACUUGUCUUGGAAGUUUUAGUUAGUGAGAGUAUUAUUUCCUUUUUAUCAGCACAUGGUAAUUUUGUAAGUAUUUCAAUUUCCUUUUUACUACUGAAUCAUGUAAUUUGUUUUAGAUAACCAUCAAUCCUUUUAGUAAAAGUAUGGAAUAGAGGGUUUAGGCACUUUCAAAUGCUGUUUCAUUUGGGGGAGCUCAUGCUAAGAACUUACACAAUAUACAAAAUAUUAGUGAAUAAAAGUUAUUUAUCAUUGUUGUGAAAUUUACUUUUACAUUUAUUAAGUUAUACUUGUCAACAGGAAUGGGAAUCACAUAUCAAGCACUCCCUUGCGUCAAAGGCAUUCCCUUAUAUACUAUUGAAAUACCAACACACUUGUUCUUAGCUCCAGCGAACACACCAAACUUUGAGAUGGGGUUAUACAUAGCACAACACUCUCUACAAUAGGUGAAAAAGUGACUUUAAAAUAUGGAAUACUUUAGGACUCCAACAACGAGAACCAACUCACUGACAGAGGAAACAAAAAUUUUGAAGUGUAAAUAUCGAAUAACCAGAAGAAAAAAAGAACCAUCUAGUAAGUGCUCUCAUCCCCAUCACCAAUCACAGGAAGGGCAACCUUUGCAAAGUCCUGUUUCGGUUUGUCUGCCUAUACUUCUAAGGGUGGUAAAGUCGUUGCUGAGCAUAAUCGACUGGAUGUAGUAGAGAUCAAUGCGCACACCAUCGGCAGGGAAGCAACUGGGAGCAGGCUCGUCAUCCAUGAUCAUGUCCUUGGCCAGCUUCAGCUGGAAAGCUGGAAUCCCCACCCUGUCACACGCACCAUCGCCAAGUCCCACGCCCCGCAGUGAUCCCCCUCGCUCUGCAACCAGGCGGCGAGCGAUAUCAACGCUGCUGCUCUCCAGGUCCGCAGUCCCAAAGCUCACUGCGUCCCUCAAUACAAUCCUCACACCACCGCCGGCGCCGCCACUGCUGCUGCUAGCACCACCAGUGCUCUUCACUCUCUCGAACAAGAGUGCCAGGAGCUGUCCCCUCCCCACGUACUCUUUGAAGCCCAGGUAGAAUCGGAUCCCUCGACCGAAGCUGCCAUCGGCCGAGGCGGCGAGGAACUGGUCCGCGUCGGCCACAAGCUCGAGCAGGGUGCGCGACUUGGCAACGCUCAGCACUCCCUGCGGCCAGUCAUGCCCGACCAGCGUCCUUCCCAUCUUCACGUCCGGUGGGAGCUCUAGGAGAGCGACCACCUUGAAAAAGCGAGGAGCAAAACGAGCAGAGGUGCCGCUCGUGUUCAUCCUCACUGUGCCUCCAACAUCCAGCUGGAAUGGCCCGCAUGCUAGGGUAUGAUCUAGGUGAAGGAAACCAUCUCUCUCGACGCCCAUGGCCUCGACGCACAUCAUCUUGGAUUUGUCAAGCACCAGGUACUCCUGCUUGAGGCCCGCUUCAUAGCCACUGUCUUCAAAGCUCUUGGCAGACACGUUCCUGACAAGAACAAGGUUCCUCUCNNNNNNNNNNNNNNNNNNNNNNNNNNNNNNNNNNNNNNNNNNNNNNNNNNNNNNNNNNNNNNNNNNNNNNNNNNNNNNNNNNNNNNNNNNNNNNNNNNNNNNNNNNNNNNNNNNNNNNNNNNNNNNNNNNNNNNNNNNNNNNNNNNNNNNNNNNNNNNNNNNNNNNNNNNNNNNNNNNNNNNNNNNNNNNNNNNNNNNNNNNNNNNNNNNNNNNNNNNNNNNNGUCUGCCAAGAGCUUUGAAGACAGUGGCUAUUUCUCGGGACUCGAGCAGGAGUACCUGCUGCUUGACAACUCCAAGAUGAUGUGUGUUGAGGCCAUGGGUGUCGAGAGAUAUGAUUUCGUUUGCCUAGAUCAUACCCUAGCAUGCGCGCCAUUCCUGCUGGAUGUUGGAGGCACGUUGAGGAUGAACGUGAGCACCUCUGCUCGUUUUCGCUUUUUCAAGGUGGUCCCUCUCCCAGUGAACUUGAAGAUGGGAAGGACCCCGGCCGGGCAUGACUGGCCGCAGGGUGUUUAGCAUUGCCAACUCGUGCACCCUACUCAAGGUUGUGGUUGAUGCAGAGAAGUUCUUUGUUGCCUCGGCCGAUGAAAAUAAGAUACAUUUGUCAUAUGUAGGGUUUUAAUACAAAGUAAUUUUUUAUCAUCAACAUGAUAGCCAAGAGCUUGGUACAAUUAACUGAAAAUCAAGUGGGUAUACAAGUUUAAAUAUUAUUUUUAAGAUUGUCUACAAAUGAUGCUCAUUUGUGGAUUUAAUAGUUGUUAAAUAUUCUGGUUGGGAUGAUAUAUGACAUAACUUCAAGAAAUUCCUCCAUAUGUGUAAGGUGUUGUGCUUCAUCAAAAACCACUAUUUAAUUAGUGUUUAAUAAUUUUUAUUAGUUUUUUUUAGAGAUAUUCUAAUAAGGUUGUUGUGAUGGUGUUAAAAUUACAUUGCUUACUUACAAGGGAGUCUACUAAAUAUUUUGAUAUAACGUAUCUACACAUAUGAAUUUAACAAAUUUGAGCCACUCAAGUUAGGACUGUUUAAUAAUUUAUAUAGUCUUGUUAGAAUUUUUGCUAAUGGGCAUCAACUUUAUAUUCACAUACACAUGAUAUUAUAUACAUAAUCAAAUUUAAUUGAUGUGGUAAUUUAGAUAGCAAAGUUACAAUAUCUAUACUCAUAAAUUUAUAUACUAAAUCAUUUUUAUGUAUUUCGAUAAAUGGGAUAUGGAUAUUCUCAUAAACUGACAUUUUUGUAUUUUGAAGAUUAAAAUAAUUUUUAUGUAUAUAAAGUGAAACUGUAUAUAUUAAAAUAGUAAACUAGUAGAAACGAUAAACUAAAAUAUAUCACACUAUUCAUUUUAUAAUGUUUUGAAUGCAUUAUAACAUAAGUUUUUAAAAAAUUAAAUUAAAUUAAUUAAUAAAAAAUCUUAUUGAUUUGUAAAAAAUGAUGUAAAAUGAAUAAUUUUUUAAUUGUUAAAUAUAAUUGUUAUAGGAGCCAUUCGCACUUGUGCUUUAUAUAAAAAUAUUUUAAAAUGUGUAUUUUAAUUUUUGUGACUGUUGCAUUCGCACUUCAGUAGUUUUUAGGUUGUUUUAAGCUUUAAGUAUGCAUUUUAAAACACUUUCAUUCCCACUUGCAUAAGUUUUUGUGGUAAAAAUUUAAUGUAAAACACUAGUGACUUCGCACUUGACUUACUUUAAAAUGUCUUCAAAAUAGCAUUCAAACAUUUUUUAAAAUAUUUUAAAAUUUCAAAUUCAAAUCAAAUUUGAAAUGCUAACCCUAAAUUUCAAUUUCAAAUUUCAAAUUUCAAAUAUUAAACUUGAACAUAGCAAUCACGCAGUUCUACGACGCCGCAAACAUAAGAAGUCGGUUAGGUUCUCUCGAACCUCCCGUGCAUCCUCCGGCCCACGCAAAUCUUCCUGUGGUUCUCCCUCAGCCACAAUAGGAUCCCCGUAAUCUUUGAAAAUCUCUGCUUCCUUCAAGGCUUGAAUGUGUUUCUCCCAUGCUUUGAUCUCGGCAUUGAUGUUUGUCUCACCAACAUCAAUCAAGAAGUUGUGCAAGAUGCAACAACUUUUGAUGAUGUUCGGCAGGUACUUCGGCUUGAUCCUUUGUUUUUGAUCCAAGCAUUUGAAUUUCAUUUUCAGGAGUCCAAAUGCUUGUUCAAUAACAAUCUGGGCCAGAUGGUGUUGCUAGUUGUACUCUGCCUCAGUCACCGUCAACAGGGAACCUGUUUCAAAUGAAUAAUUGAAAAAAAAAAAAAACAAUCAGCUUACCUAAGUGAGGGAUCAUCAAGUGCUGCUGCAGCUGGUAGCCUUUGUCUCCCACCAGGUAUGGCUCAAUCCACUCGUCAAAAGCAAACUCCCGAGGAACUGUGAGUAAUUCCCUUGCUUGGAUCUUGUGGCAUAGCCUGGAGUUCUGAAAAACCCUCAUGUCAUGAACACUCCCUGGAAAAAAAGAAAAACCAAUUAGAUGUAUAGAAGAAAAAAAAUA